Molecule: long non-coding RNA, 1459 nt
Organism: Megalobrama amblycephala (Wuchang bream)
Lineage: Eukaryota; Metazoa; Chordata; Actinopteri; Cypriniformes; Xenocyprididae
Exons: 2
Source: RefSeq, a predicted model, not a curated record
CACAGCUUUCUUUGUUCUGAAGUAAUUUAACAAGAUGUUUUCAUAUUUGUGUUGAAACUUUUCAUUGCAAAGGAUGUUUCCAAACUUUUUUAGCACUUUGGUUUAACUCUUACCGCUUAGUGCUGUGCGUCUGACUAGUUUUCAAACAAAACAAAAGCACACUGGCAUAAUGUAUCCUGAUGUUUUAAACUCGCCGUUCUCAGAUCUGACAGACGAAUGAGCGCGUGUGCAUUAAUGUACAUAAGACAUAAACCUGAGCAGGAAUAUUUACUCGGCCUGGAUAAUUAAUCUGAACUGUGCUAAACACGGAGCUGGAGAACAUUUCUAACACACGUCCAGACCUGUGCCAGCUUUAAACACUCUGAACGAUCCUCCAUCUUAAAAGCAUCAUAUAUCGUCCAGAGCGGCGAGCGUUCGACUCAUCUGCACAUUCCUCCUGCUCACACAGAACAUAUUUAACCACAGGAGUUUUGAUAAGGAUGUGCAAAUCCUUCGCUUUUCAAGACAAAUAGGUGGUUUUGGUGCAGAGGAGCUUCACCCACACAUCCCUCAACCUACGGCUGGAAUCAGAGCAGAGACGACACGGAUUUGUUUAGUUUCAGCACGAUGGAGCUCCAUUAUGCUGCUGUCACACAGCGUUAGAAGGGAACAUCAGGCACUUUCAUGUGCGGAUUAACUGCUGCCCGGAUCUCGCCUCCGCUAAUCCAUUUCUUUCUCUAAUAGCCACUAGCAGGAGGAAUAAUGCUGACGCUCCAGGAAUCCAGACCAAGAUCUGGACAGGACCUUCAGAAAUCUGAUCAUCAGGUUAUUAAGGAAAUGUCGGGCGCGCUGCCCUGAUGGCGUGCUGCUCCAGUGAUCCCGCAGAUGGAGAGUUUAAUCCCUGGCCCCCGUUCUGUCGCCGGUGUGACCCGCUUCCCUUUGGGGUUCCCUGAUCUGCCGGCCGGUGAUGUCAUCAUUCCGGUGCGUGAGACGGAAGCUCCGCUGAGCGUCUGUAAACGUCUGACUUGAAACUGAUGUGUCAGCAGUGUGUAGAGCCCUAUAAUGCUGACACAUCAGUUUCUCCUCAGACCCUGCUGAAUCAGAGCCAGAGCAGAUUGUGCCACAUAAUACCUGCAUUUUUUUUUUUUUUUUUUUGCUGAUUUGCAAAUAUAUAUUUUAUAAUAUUAGAUGAUGCUGAGUUGAAAAUUAUCAAUAAAACUUUCCGUCACAGUUUUUUCACAAAAUAAGAAUGAAGACAAGACAGUUCAUAGUCACCACGAGCAUCACAAAAGAAUCAUAACUGUAGUCCAUAUGACUUGUGUUUUAUAUUCCAGGUAAUCUGCUGAAGCUCUCAAAUCUCACGUUCAGGUUCAUUAAUGUCUUGUUUGAUUUUAUCUUAAUAACCAUAAUGGUACAUAUUUUUCUAAGAUCAACAGAAUCCAUCAGGAUUUGGUUGCAUCAUUAAAAUUGUUUUGUUAUA